This 433-nucleotide ribosomal RNA is filed under the name uncultured bacterium. RNAcentral's name for it is "partial 16S ribosomal RNA". It matches the Rfam family "Bacterial small subunit ribosomal RNA", at positions 29 to 507 of the family's 1533-position model. The record is from RNAcentral.
AACGAACGCUGGCGGCAUGCCUAACACAUGCAAGUCGAACGAGACCUUCGGGUCUAGUGGCGCACGGGUGCGUAACGCGUGGGAACCUGCCCUUAGGUUCGGAAUAACUCCCCGAAAGGGGUGCUAAUACCGGAUAAUGUCUUCGGACCAAAGAUUUAUCGCCUUUGGAUGGGCCCGCGUUGGAUUAGCUAGUUGGUAGGGUAAAAGCCUACCAAGGCGACGAUCCAUAGCUGGUCUGAGAGGAUGAUCAGCCACAAUGGGACUGAGACACGGCCCAGACUCCUACGGGAGGCAGCAGUGGGGAAUAUUGGACAAUGGGCGAAAGCCUGAUCCAGCAAUGCCGCGUGAGUGAUGAAGGCCUUAGGGUUGUAAAGCUCUUUUACCCGGGAUGAUAAUGACAGUACCGGGAGAAUAAGCUCCGGCUAACUCCGUG